GGGGGUAUAGCUCACUGAUAGAGUGCAUGCUUAGCAUGCACAAGGUCCUGGGUUCAAUCACCAGUAGCUCCA
This 72-nucleotide transfer RNA is filed under the name Camelus bactrianus (Bactrian camel). It matches the Rfam family "tRNA". From Rfam's summary of the family: Transfer RNA (tRNA) molecules are approximately 80 nucleotides in length. Their secondary structure includes four short double-helical elements and three loops (D, anti-codon, and T loops). Lineage: Eukaryota; Metazoa; Chordata; Mammalia; Artiodactyla; Camelidae. RNAcentral also lists the same sequence under 2 other names. The record is from Rfam by way of RNAcentral.